This 292-nucleotide unclassified non-coding RNA is filed under the name Hevea brasiliensis (rubber tree). The record is from RNAcentral. Lineage: Eukaryota; Viridiplantae; Streptophyta; Magnoliopsida; Malpighiales; Euphorbiaceae.
AGCAAGUAUUCCCUUCCUUGUAUCCAGAAUCCAAGUCUUGCACUUCCAUUGUUUAGAUAAUACAAUUUAAGUGAGACUGCAGAUUGAUCUUCCCUUACACAUCUUAUAACAACAGCUUUAUCAGAAUAUCCUUCUCGCCUAUCACGAAAUGAAUUCCGUGCCAUACUUGUUGGAUAGUUUCGCUUUGGCAAAAUUAUAAGACGAAUAACUCUCUCAAGCCCUUUCAGAAUGAAAUAUCCGCCCAUUUCUGAUGGCUCUUCCUUGUAAGCAACUAACUUCUUGGAGUCAUCAG